RNAcentral lists this ribosomal RNA (253 nucleotides) under uncultured bacterium. Its description in RNAcentral is "partial 16S ribosomal RNA". It matches the Rfam family "Bacterial small subunit ribosomal RNA", at positions 524 to 776 of the family's 1533-position model. The record is from RNAcentral.
UACGGAGGGAGCUAGCGUUAUUCGGAAUUACUGGGCGUAAAGCGCACGUAGGCGGCUUUGUAAGUUAGAGGUGAAAGCCCGGGGCUCAACUCCGGAACUGCCUUUAAGACUGCAUCGCUUGAAUCAUGGAGAGGUUAGUGGAAUUCCGAGUGUAGAGGUGAAAUUCGUAGAUAUUCGGAAGAACACCAGUGGCGAAGGCGACUAACUGGACAUGUAUUGACGCUGAGGUGCGAAAGCGUGGGGAGCAAACAGG